UGGAUUCCCGAAGAUCCCCACCGCUACGCUCGGUCGCGCGGGCCGCGCUCGCUCUGGUGCUCGCGGAUCAGGCUCGGCGAGCUGCUCUUCCACGCCCCCACCCCUCCAGUGUUUCUCCCCGCCGAGGCGGCGUUGGGAUGCCGCGGCGCCAGCGGCUGGCGAUGAGGGCGCGAGGGAGCUCCAGAAGAGGCAGGCCAAGAGGCGUGUUGAGGAGGGCGUGGGACCAGCGUCCGUUGCCGCUGACGGCUCCAUGGUGCUGGUGGUGAACGGAGGAGUGCGGAUGGCGGCGAGCACGAAGAGGGAACGGCCGGUGAUGCGACCGAGGAGUAGGAGGUGAACAGGCGGACGGAGGAGUUCAUCUCCGUGUAACAGCACCGUCUGAGGGUCGACUCCUUCGCCCUUGUCGCCGUCAGGAAGCAGGCGAGGCAGGGCCGUCGCUAGCUAGCACUGUUGAUUUAAGUUUGUAGCUUGCUCCGGGAGAUCCUCCUUGAAGCUGAACAAGUUACUCUUCAGUGCAGGUUAUUCCAUCUUGUUGAGCAUGAAUGAAUGAAUGAUUAAUCAUUUUCACAUGCUGGUGUCUCCCUGCUCACUUCUUCAGAUCAUGCAAUUUUAGAUCGCGAAGAUAAUUUCUUUGUUGAACACUAUCUAUUUACUUGGAGACUUGGAGAAAUUAGUUUAUGCAGCAGAGGGCAUUUUCCCUUCAUUGAUGGUGGCAGGCAGUGCGUAGUGCAUAUUUUGCAUGCUCGGACAUUCACCAAUUCUUGAGGAGUAGACACUUCAACUGCAUAAGGGAUCUGAGGUACUUUGGAAAGUGAAGGAAAUUAUGGCCUGAUGAACAUAGGCGGACCCAACCGCCCCUAGCUUUUGGGUGGCGGCGCAAUCUAUUUUGAUGAAAAUUUGGCCGGCCUUACAGUAUGCCCAGGCUUGAUGAAAAUCUUGGAUCCGCCACUGAUGAAGAAAUCAUCCUCUGUACCAAAUCACCAUAAGAUGGUCAGUGUGAAAUGUAAAGAGGUUCAUGAGAGGUUUUGCGAAAUUUGAAAGUUCUUGAGUACAUUUGACAUGGAUAUUACUACUGAAAGGAUCCCAUUUGAGGAGGUGGUGAGGAACUUUGCGCUGUUGAUAGAUGUACCAACCCAUGGCCAGUCAGGAGUGCAAAGCUGAAGCUUUUGCUAUCUUUUGUUCACGGAUCUACCUUGAUAGUCUUGAUUUAAAGUGAUAUUACCAGGUCUUCUGUGCGUAGUGCAAGCAGAAACUUUGCUUAUUCAUUAUUCUUGAUGAUGUUACUAUUUUGAUUUUUUUAGAGAAUUGUAUAGCUGGUAUUUUUAUACAAUUUAUUAUUGAUUCCAAAUGAAAUCUGAACUAACAUGGUUUGCACUCAAGGGAAAAAUCCUAUAUACAAAGUAAAAAUAUCACAAUGACCAUUAUUUUUCCUGAACAUGCAUCUAAUUCUAAAUGUCCAACAUUUUUAUUAGAAGAAACUGUGCGUAAAGGUUCACUUCUGCUAGUAGCUCAUUUCCUCUUCGUUUGCAGAUUAUGGGUAACUCAUUUGCAGAAGUUGUUCAAGGGCCUCGACUUCUUGAGUCAUUUUGUUCAAACAAUUUAUCAUCACCUUCAAAUCUGAAACACCGAGACAACCUUGAGAAACAGCUAAUGUUUACUGCUCUUCAUUUACUUGUUUCGCGGAAGGACGACCGAAGCCUGAAAGAUUUUGUUAUCAAGGUGUCACACACCAGAUAUCUUGGGAGUUUAUUGUGGAGGAAGACGAUGCCAAUGAUGGUUUGGAUUGGAGAUGGGCAGCGACGGGGUGAAUUAUGACCCCCUAAUCAGCAAGAUGGGGAGAUGAGAGAGGAAGAAGACAAUGCUGAAGAUGG
Long non-coding RNA from Lolium rigidum, 1871 nucleotides. RefSeq lists it as uncharacterized. NCBI's taxonomy places the organism in Eukaryota, Viridiplantae, Streptophyta, Magnoliopsida, Poales, Poaceae. The record is from RefSeq and is a predicted model, not a curated record. The transcript has 6 exons.